CCUACGGGAGGCAGCAGUGGGGAAUCUUGGACAAUGGAGGAAACUCUGAUCCAGCGAUGCCGCGUGAGUGAUGAAGGCCUUCGGGUUGUAAAACUCUUUUACCAGGGAAGCUGUACCUGGAGAAUAAGCCCCGGCUAACUUCGUGCCAGCAGCCGCGGUAAUACGAAGGGGGCUAGCGUUGUUCGGAAUUACUGGGCGUAAAGCGUGCGCAGGCGGUUUUUCAAGUCAGGGGUGAAAGCCCAGAGCUCAACUCUGGAAUUGCCUUUGAAACUGACGAACUAGAGUACGAGAGAGGUGAGUGGAAUUCCCAGUGUAGAGGUGAAAUUCGUAGAUAUUGGGAAGAACACCGGUGGCGAAGGCGGCUCACUGGCUCGACUGACGCUCAGGCACGACAGCGUGGGGAUCAAACAGGAUUAGAUACCCUUGUAGUC
RNAcentral lists this ribosomal RNA (431 nucleotides) under uncultured bacterium. RNAcentral describes it as "partial 16S ribosomal RNA". It matches the Rfam family "Bacterial small subunit ribosomal RNA", at positions 338 to 795 of the family's 1533-position model. The record is from RNAcentral.